This 63-nucleotide transfer RNA is filed under the name Urocitellus parryii (Arctic ground squirrel). Its description in RNAcentral is "Spermophilus parryii (Arctic ground squirrel) tRNA". It matches the Rfam family "tRNA", at positions 5 to 66 of the family's 71-position model. From Rfam's summary of the family: Transfer RNA (tRNA) molecules are approximately 80 nucleotides in length. RNAcentral also lists the same sequence under 2 other names. The record is from Rfam by way of RNAcentral. Lineage: Eukaryota; Metazoa; Chordata; Mammalia; Rodentia; Sciuridae.
GUGCAGCUCAGUGGUAGAGUGCUUGUCUGUCAUGCAUGAGGCCCUGGGUUCAGCCCCCAGCAC